This 87-nucleotide transfer RNA is filed under the name Clostridiales bacterium. RNAcentral describes it as "tRNA-Leu". It matches the Rfam family "tRNA". Rfam says of the family: Transfer RNA (tRNA) molecules are approximately 80 nucleotides in length. Their secondary structure includes four short double-helical elements and three loops (D, anti-codon, and T loops). Lineage: Bacteria; Bacillati; Bacillota; Clostridia; Eubacteriales. The record is from RNAcentral. RNAcentral also lists the same sequence under 1 other name.
GCGAGAAUGGCGGAAUUGGCAGACGCGUACGGUUCAGGUCCGUAUGCUAGCAAUAGCAUGCAGGUUCAAGUCCUGUUUCUCGCACCA